AUCUGUGCUGAGACCUUGCGCUCAUCACCCCAGUGCUGGGAGUCCCACUAACUCGGUGGUAAGGGCUUUUCCCGGGGACAGCGCAGGAACGGGCAAAAUCAGUCCUUUUACGGAAGGAGAAGCCCGGCCUCUAAGAUGGGAAGUGACUUGUUGGGGUCACCUGGUAGGUAGGCGGCAGAGUUGGAUUCGAUCCUGCUCUGACGCCAUAACCUGCGUCCCCCCUCCCCCGCCCCGUCUGCAAGAGGUCAGAGUCAGGUGGUGUCCUGGACUCCUGGCCCAACCACACAGAAAUGCGAGUCCCACCUCACAGCUCCGGGGCUGUGGCUCCCCAGCGCUCUCCAGGGUCAGGCGCGUUGGGUCACGCCUGUAAUCCCAGCACUUUGGGAGGCCAAGGAGGGUGGAUCACCUAUCAGGAGUUCGAGACCAGCCUGGCCAACAGAGUGAAACCCCAUCUCUAUCAAAAAUACAAAAAAAUUAGCCAGGUGUAGUGGCUUGCACCUGUAAUCCCAGCUACCCAGGAAGCUGAGGCAGGAGAAUUGCUUGAACCCGGGAGGUGGAAGUUGCAGUGAGCCAGGAUCGCACCACUGCGCUCCAGCCUGGACAACAGAGCAAGACUCCAUCUCAAAAAAAAAAAAAAAAAA
This 641-nucleotide long non-coding RNA is filed under the name Homo sapiens (human). Its description in RNAcentral is "HSALNT0397577". The record is from RNAcentral. Lineage: Eukaryota; Metazoa; Chordata; Mammalia; Primates; Hominidae.